UACAUAAUAACAGUUAAAAAUAGUGAAAACAGUAGUAAUAGUAAUAAGCUACAGACAUCCCUAUUCAGAUUCAGCAACACAAUCCCAGUUUCUCGAUAAUCAAUAAAUAAACAGAUUUACAUCAUAUAAAAAUUGAAUCUUGAGCAGUAGACGACUGUCACUCUGAGUAAUCCCUUGAAACCUCGGUUCCUGAAAUAGAACAAGUAGAGAUUCAUUAGUUUGUGAUGUUAAAGCUGAAAUAGAAAUUAAAUUGGAAGUUUGCUGGAAUAAGAUUUUGAAUUGGGAAAUAGAGAAGAGGGAAGAAGAAGAAGAAGGCGGGAUUAGCAAUAGCAGCAGCAGCCGUGAGCCAACCACAGCAGAGGCACGACUGGCGGUGGUGACCGCCGGCGUUGCCCGCGCUAAGGCGGCCGCGGUGGCUGCUAACAGUAGAGGAAGAGGGAGGUUGAGCGAGAGGUAGGGAUGGAGACUAAGUGAGAGAUAGUGAGAUAGAAUAUGAGAUAGAGACAGACAGCAGGAAGGAGAAAGGCAGAACGAGCUAGAGGGAGAGAGGAGCGGGGCAGGCGGCGGCGAGCACCGGCGCUGCAAGCGCCGUCGUGGCUUGCGGCGGCCGCCGCGCCCUGGACAGAGAGAGAGAGCGAGAGAUCGAGAGAGGGCAGAGAGAGAGAGUUCGAGGGAGAGAACAGAGAUAGAAGUAGAGAGAGAGACAGGGACUUACCUGAGUCAGAAGAGGCGGCGGCGUGACAGAGACGACGGCGGGGCGGCAGGCUUCGCCGGAGAGACGAAUUCCAGAGGGGAUGAAGAGAGGUAGAAACCCUAGGAUUUUGAUUUUUGAAUUGGGGAUUUAGAUAUAGGGAAAAGAGGGAGGAAGGAGGAGGAAGGACAGGCGCCGGCCUCGCCACGCCGGAGGCGGCGAGGGCCGGCGACGCUCGCCAGAAAACAGGAGAGAAACGACAGUGAGGAGAGAAAGAGAGAACAUAGUGAAGAAGGGGGAGCAUGCGUGUGAAAAGAGAGAGAGAAAAGGGUCAUCUGUAUUCUUA
This 1037-nucleotide long non-coding RNA is filed under the name Salvia miltiorrhiza (redroot sage). Its description in RNAcentral is "long non-coding RNA (SMIL_LNC001534)". The record is from RNAcentral. Lineage: Eukaryota; Viridiplantae; Streptophyta; Magnoliopsida; Lamiales; Lamiaceae.